Molecule: ribosomal RNA, 1685 nt
Filed under: Proteus mirabilis
Lineage: Bacteria; Pseudomonadati; Pseudomonadota; Gammaproteobacteria; Enterobacterales; Morganellaceae
Description: partial 23S ribosomal RNA
Rfam family: Bacterial large subunit ribosomal RNA
Source: RNAcentral
CUGUGAGGUAUGCUGGAGGUAUCAGAAGUGCGAAUGCUGACAUAAGUAACGAUAAUGCGGGUGAAAAACCCGCACGCCGGAAGACCAAGGGUUCCUGUCCAACGUUAAUCGGGGCAGGGUGAGUCGACCCCUAAGGCGAGGCUGAAAAGCGUAGUCGAUGGGAAACGGGUUAAUAUUCCCGUACUGGUGGUAACUGCGAUGGGGGAACGGAGAAGGCUAGGUUGUCCGGGCGACGGUCGUCCCGGUUCAAGCAGGUAGGCAGAGUGAUUAGGCAAAUCCGGUCACUUAAUGCUGAGAUGUGAUGACGAACCACCAAGGUGGUGAAGCAAUUGAUGCCCCGCUUCCAGGAAAAGCCUCUAAGCUUCAGGUUACCAACAAUCGUACCCCAAACCGACACAGGUGGUCAGGUAGAGAAUACUCAGGCGCUUGAGAGAACUCGGGUGAAGGAACUAGGCAAAAUGGUGCCGUAACUUCGGGAGAAGGCACGCUGGCGGUAGGUAAAGUCCCUUGCGGACGGCGCUGAAGCCAGUCGAAGAUACCAGCUGGCUGCAACUGUUUAUUAAAAACACAGCACUGUGCAAACACGAAAGUGGACGUAUACGGUGUGACGCCUGCCCGGUGCUGGAAGGUUAAUUGAUGGGGUUAGCCGCAAGGCGAAGCUCCUGAUCGAAGCCCCAGUAAACGGCGGCCGUAACUAUAACGGUCCUAAGGUAGCGAAAUUCCUUGUCGGGUAAGUUCCGACCUGCACGAAUGGCGUAAUGAUGGCCAGGCUGUCUCCACCCGAGACUCAGUGAAAUUGAACUCGCUGUGAAGAUGCAGUGUACCCGCGGCAAGACGGAAAGACCCCGUGAACCUUUACUAUAGCUUGACACUGAACAUUGAGCCUUGAUGUGUAGGAUAGGUGGGAGGCUUUGAAGUGUGGACGCCAGUCUGCAUGGAGCCAACCUUGAAAUACCACCCUUUAACGUUUGAUGUUCUAACCUAGGCCCAUAAACUGGGUCGGGGACCGUGUCUGGUGGGUAGUUUGACUGGGGCGGUCUCCUCCUAAAGAGUAACGGAGGAGCACGAAGGUUGGCUAAGCAUGGUCGGACAUCAUGCGGUUAGUGCAAAGGCAUAAGCCAGCUUGACUGCGAGAGUGACGGCUCGAGCAGGUACGAAAGUAGGUCUUAGUGAUCCGGUGGUUCUGAAUGGAAGGGCCAUCGCUCAACGGAUAAAAGGUACUCCGGGGAUAACAGGCUGAUACCGCCCAAGAGUUCAUAUCGACGGCGGUGUUUGGCACCUCGAUGUCGGCUCAUCACAUCCUGGGGCUGAAGUAGGUCCCAAGGGUAUGGCUGUUCGCCAUUUAAAGUGGUACGCGAGCUGGGUUUAGAACGUCGUGAGACAGUUCGGUCCCUAUCUGCCGUGGGCGUUGGAAGAUUGAGAGGGGUUGCUCCUAGUACGAGAGGACCGGAGUGAACGCACCACUGGUGUUCGGGUUGUCAUGCCAAUGGCAUUGCCCGGUAGCUAAGUGCGGAAGAGAUAACCGCUGAAAGCAUCUAAGCGGGAAACUUGCCUCGAGAUGAGUCUUCCCUGUCGCUUUAAGCGACCUAAAGGAACGUUUAAGACUAAGACGUUGAUAGGCUGGGUGUGUAAGCGUAGCGAUACGUUGAGCUAACCAGUACUAAUGAACCGUGAGGCUUAACCUG